Molecule: long non-coding RNA, 307 nt
Filed under: Hordeum vulgare
Lineage: Eukaryota; Viridiplantae; Streptophyta; Magnoliopsida; Poales; Poaceae
Description: long non-coding RNA (HVUL_LNC015558)
Source: RNAcentral
GAGGAGCGAGGAAGGACGCCAUGACCCAGACGAUGAAACGUUUUCUCCAGUUAUUAUUGGACUGCGGGUUGAUUUCGAAGAAACAGAGGGGUUGUUUUGCAAAAACGCCAGCGACGGACGACAGAAGCGCUCCUCGCUUUAUUAUUAGGGGAGAUAGUUCACCACACAUAUAUAUAGUUCAUCACCACACAUAUAUGAUAUACAUAUAAAGUUCAUCAAUGUGCAUCCUAUAUAUCGAAAGAACCAACAUACAAAGUUUUACACUGUUCAUCCAUAGAAACAUAUACAUAUAGUUCGACAUUGUUCA